CCUACGGGAGGCAGCAGUAAGGAAUAUUGGGCAAUGGACGCAAGUCUGACCCAGCCAUGCCGCGUGAAGGAUGAAUGUCCUAUGGAUUGUAAACUUCUUUUAUGCAGGAAAAAUAUCCCGGUCGAGAACCGGGACUGAUGGUACUGUAUGAAUAAGCAUCGGCUAACUCCGUGCCAGCAGCCGCGGUAAU
Molecule: ribosomal RNA, 190 nt
Filed under: uncultured Bacteroidota bacterium
Lineage: Bacteria; Pseudomonadati; Bacteroidota
Description: uncultured Bacteroidetes bacterium partial 16S ribosomal RNA
Rfam family: Bacterial small subunit ribosomal RNA
Source: RNAcentral